CCUACGGGAGGCUGCAGUGGGGAAUAUUGGACAAUGGGGGCAACCCUGAUCCAGCCAUGCCGCGUGUGUGAAGAAGGCCCUCGGGUUGUAAAGCACUUUCAGUGAGGAAGAACGCCUGGUGGUUAAUACCCAUCAGGAAAGACAUCACUCACAGAAGAAGCACCGGCUAACUCCGUGCCAGCAGCCGCGGUAAUACGGAGGGUGCGAGCGUUAAUCGGAAUUACUGGGCGUAAAGCGCGCGUAGGUGGCUUGAUAAGCCGGUUGUGAAAGCCCCGGGCUCAACCUGGGAACGGCAUCCGGAACUGUCAAGCUAGAGUGCAGGAGAGGAAGGUAGAAUUCCCGGUGUAGCGGUGAAAUGCGUAGAGAUCGGGAGGAAUACCAGUGGCGAAGGCGGCCUUCUGGACUGACACUGACACUGAGGUGCGAAAGCGUGGGUAGCAAACAGGAUUAGAUACCCAGGUAGUC
RNAcentral lists this ribosomal RNA (465 nucleotides) under Vreelandella stevensii. RNAcentral describes it as "partial 16S ribosomal RNA". It matches the Rfam family "Bacterial small subunit ribosomal RNA", at positions 338 to 795 of the family's 1533-position model. The record is from RNAcentral. Lineage: Bacteria; Pseudomonadati; Pseudomonadota; Gammaproteobacteria; Oceanospirillales; Halomonadaceae.